UAAUAUCGCAUUUAUUUGACGAAGGCUCCAAAGGAAGCCACGGCAAACUCUGUGCCAGCAGCCGCGGUAAUACAGAGGUGGCAAGCGUUGUUCGGAAUUAUUGGGCGUAAAGAGCACGUAGGUGGGUUUGUAAGUCAGAUGUGAAAGCCUUCUGUUCAACGGAAGAAUUGCAUCUGAAACUGCAGGUCUUGAGUGUAGGAGGGGAGAGUGGAAC
Molecule: ribosomal RNA, 214 nt
Filed under: uncultured Planctomycetales bacterium
Lineage: Bacteria; Pseudomonadati; Planctomycetota; Planctomycetia; Planctomycetales
Description: partial 16S ribosomal RNA
Rfam family: Bacterial small subunit ribosomal RNA
Source: RNAcentral